GGGAAAAAGAAAACAACCAAAAUUUUUGCAAGGAAGCCAUUCUCAGCAGUUGACAGAUUAGAAUUGCUGCCAACAAUACAGGGAAAAAAAAUAGCAGACCAAUGUCCACACAAGAUGAGACCUACGAGGACACAUUCACAAACAACACAGUUAUCAACUCUUACAGCUUACAAAAACAUCCACAAUCUAACUACAUCAGUUAACUGCAUUUAUGUCAGCUAUCUUUUAGGCAAUGAGAGAAUGGCAGCACAAAAUGUUUUUUUUUUUUUU
RNAcentral lists this unclassified non-coding RNA (270 nucleotides) under Hevea brasiliensis (rubber tree). Lineage: Eukaryota; Viridiplantae; Streptophyta; Magnoliopsida; Malpighiales; Euphorbiaceae. The record is from RNAcentral.